Molecule: long non-coding RNA, 7463 nt
Filed under: Sus scrofa (pig)
Lineage: Eukaryota; Metazoa; Chordata; Mammalia; Artiodactyla; Suidae
Description: lncRNA (ENSSSCG00065034010.1)
Source: RNAcentral
ACUUGUGUCAAGACAUAAUUUGUCAAAAGACAAUUUUGAAAGUAGCAAGAGAGAAGCAACUCAUCACGUACAAGGGAUCUUCAAUAAAAUCAGGUGAAUUACUUCAACAAAAAUCUUGGUGUGCAGAAUGCCAAGGAAUGAUAUAUUUAAAAGGCUGACAGGGAAAAACAAAAACCUAUCAACUAAUUUUUCAAUAUGCAGCCAAACUGUCCUUUAAAAAAUGGAGAAAUUAUGACUUUCUCAAAUAAACAAAAGCUGACAAAGUUGAUUAUCAUUAAACCUGCUCUAUGAGAAAUGAUAAAAGCAGUCCAUCUGGCUGAAAUGAAAGGACACAAAUAAUUCAAAGCCAUAUAAAAAUAUGAAAAUCUCUGGUAAGAGUAGAUACAUAGACAAAUAUAAAUAUGUCUAAGAGUAUCUAAAGGAUUCUACAAUAAAGGCAACUCAAUUAAAUAAUGGAAAUAGUACUCAGACAUUUCUCCAAAUAAUAUGUACCAGUGACCAUGAACUGCAUGAGUAAAUGCUCCUCAUCAUUAUUUGUUAGGGAAAUACAAAUCAAAACCAUGAGGUAACACUACACUCCCCCAAGAUGCCUAUAAUCAAAAGAUGGAAAUUAGCAAAUGAUGAGAAUGUGGAGAAAUCAACCCUCAUCCAUUGCGAGUGGGAUAUAAAAUGAGGCAGCCACUGUGGAGAACAUUUUGGCAGUUCCAAAAUAUAAAAUUAAAAUGUGACCAAUUAAUUCCUCUAAUAUCCCCAAAUUGAAAUUUCAAGCAAAAAUCCAUAUGUCAAAUGUUUAUAGCAGCCCUAGUCACAGAAAUUAAGAUGUGGGGAAAAUCCAAAUGUUUAUCAAUGAAUGGUUAAACAAAAUGUGGAAUAUGCAUACCAUGUAAUAUUCAGUUAUAAAAAGGAAUGAAAGGGAUACAUGCUACAACAUGGAAGAACCUCAAAAACAUUAUGCUAAGUUUUUAAAGAAGGCACAUACAAAAGGCCACAUUUUAUAUGAUUCCAUUUAUGUGAAAAUGAAUUGGUAAAUCUGUGAAGGCAGAAAGCAGAUUACUGGUUGUCAGGGGCUGUGAGAAUGGAAUGAAGAUUGCUUAAUGGACAUGGGGUUUCCUUUUAGAGUAAUAAAAUAUUUGGUAAUUAGAUAGAGGUGGUAGUUGCACAAAGUUGUUAAUGUACUAAAUGCCAUUAAAUUUUACACUUUUAAAUGGUUCAUUUUAUGUUAUGUGACUUUUACCAUAGUAAUAAAAAAUAAUACUCAAGGCGUACAUGUUUCCAGGCUACAAGGGGAUUAAAUUAGAAAUCAGUAACAGAAAAAUCUCUGGAAAAUCAUGGAUAUUUGAAAUUAGUUACCAAACUCACACACAAAUCAAAAGAAAAAUUAAGAUGAAUUUUGAACUAAAUGAGAACAUAAAAAUUUGUUGAAUUUCAUCAAGGUAAUUAGGACAAAAUUUAUAGCACUAAGCAUCUAUAUUAGAAAAGAAGAAAGGUCUCAAAUGAUGACAUCAGCUUCCAUCUCAACAAACUAUGAAAGGAAGAACAUAUAAAAUCCAAAAUAAGCAGAAGAAAGGAAAUAAUAAAGAUCAGAGCAGAAAUCAAUGAAAUAUAAAACAAAAAAUGAUAAAGUCAGUGUAACAAAGUUUGUUCUUUGAGAAAAAUUAAAAUUGACAAACUUUAAGCCUAAUUGAUCAGGGUAAAAAUGAAGACACAAAUUAGCAUUUUAAAGACUAAAAAUGUUGACCUCACUUCAGAUUCUACUGAUAAUGAAAGAACAAGUGAAUAUUGUGAACAUUUUGUCAGUAAAUUCACUGAUUUUGCCUAUCAAUGGUAAAUCUCAAGUUAUCUGGAAAGAAACACACAUGGUACCAGCAUCUUAACAGUACUUACUAGGAAAGCCAACCUGAUUAAUUUCUUCAUAUGAACACUUUAAAAAUCAGUGUGAUCAAUUUUAUCCUCUCAUUUUUAUUCAAAUUAAUUAUCAGAAUGUAAAUUAUUAUAAAUAAAACUUUGAUUUAUCUAAAUGGCACUUUUCAGAACAUCUGAACCUUAGUAUACAAAUUUUGCUUUAAGAUUAAUAAUAUUUAAGUGACUGCAAAUGAAAGGCUAUCCUGGUAUGGCUGUCAGUAUUAAAUGCUACUGCAGUGUUUGAUUUACUGAAACGUCUGUGUUCAAAAGAGAAUUUCUUGACCUGUCCUAAAGACAUCAACUGUUAGUCCCCUACUAACACAUUAUAUGUUAGUAUUCCUAGGAAAUGUAUUAGCUAAUAUUUGAACUAUUUUGAUGGUAUAUUUGAAACUUUCUGUUGAGAUACACAUGUAGAAAAGAGCAUGCACUAUAAUUGUACAGCUUAAAAAUUUGCCAUGUAACAGCAACUAAUCAACACACUGGUUAAGAUACUUUCAUAAGUAAAAGUGCUAUUAUGCUAGUCAUACUCUGCUACUAUAUCUGAAUCCUAUACUAUUGUAGAGUAAUAAUAUGAGCAAUUUACUGAAUAUAUACCAUGCAUCAGUGUGCUGUCAUACUCUUGAUUGAGACAGUAUUCCUGACUUCGUGGCUAUGUCAAUCUACUAAUAGUAAGAAAUAUGCAAAUAAGAAUUUGUGAGAACAUAAUUUUAAAAGUAAAAACAUACCCCAUUGUUCUUGGUGUUCGUUUGCGUGCUCAAAGGUCUGUUAAUUAUUGAAGUUCUAGGGUUCAUUUCAAUUUCUGGCUAAGCCAAUUUCCUUUUUGAUCUAUGAGUACUUUUAGGUUAUUACUCAUUCCUUUAGAAUUAUCUUCUUAAGUACAAAUGCAAGUACUAAUUGAUAGAGUUUCUGAAGAACUUUCUCAAGAAAAAAAUUACCUUUCCUUUGUUUUUCAAAAGAAUAUUGCAAUUUUCAUCAUAUAAAAACUUCCCAGCCUUGAAAAGAUCUAGCAAAAUUUCACAUUAUAACUUUCUUUUCUUUUUUUUUCUUUUGCUUUUUAGGGCCACAUCCAUGGCAUAUGGAGGUUUCCAGGCUAGGGGUCAAAUCAGAGCUGUAGCUGCCAGCCUAGGCCAUGGCCACAGCAAUGUGGGACCUGACUUGUGUCCGCAACCUACACCACAGCUGUCGGCAACACUGGAUCCCUAACCCACUGAGCAAGGCCAGGGAUCGAACCUGCAACCUCAUGGUUACUAAUUGGAUUUGCUUCUGCUGUGCCACAGUGGGAACUCCCACAUAUAACUUUCCAUGUUACAAAAGUAAGUAAUUUUUAUGCUAAUCAAGAAAUACUGAAGUAGAAACAAUAUAGUGCAGUAUAACCACAAAGUCCUGUGAAUUAUGGAGUCUCCUUAAAUCCCAGCAAUUAAACAGAUAAGGAAAAUAUUUUGAUAAUAUAAUAUUUUGGUACAUUUGGAUUUUACUACAAUAAUUUUUGAUUGAAUAUGAAAUUGACAAAAAUAUUCUCUAAAAGUCUCUACAUUUCCCAUCAAAGCAGAAAAGAGUUAAAAUGGAAGAAGAAAUUACACAGAUUCAAUAAUGUAAGUGACCUUGGCGAGGGUCUCAGAAAAAGGACACAUCAAAAUAUUCUCAAAAAACCCUCUCAAAAAGAUAAACAGAGACCUCAGGACCUGGCAAAGAGCAUAUGACAUAUGAAUUUCAAAUAGCUACUCACCCUUAUUCUCUGAAGUGGAAGACCUCAUUCCAGUCUUUCUAGCUCAGCAAAACAUGACAGAAAGGAAAGACAGUCUAAGAAAAUAAUCAAUAGUAAAAAUAACUAAAAUUCACUUCUCUUACCAUUAUUUAAUAUAUGCAUGCAGUGUUCCCUUCUUUUAGUCCAACAUUAAUGAGACUUUCAAUACCUGUCACAGCUGCUUGUCCCCUUCUAAUUCAAUGUUUUCCAUUUUCUCAUUUUAUUCAAGUAUACAGUUAUGUAUAGUCAUAUUUAUGACUCUUGGUUCUACUGAGCAAAAUGAAGUAAAAUGGGUCACUGAUCAUAAAGGUGCAUAUUGCCUUACAUGUAGAAAUGAAUACCCUUUUCAUUGAGAAAGAAAAAAGUGUUCUGACAGUGGUAUUAUGUUGUUUCUAAGAGGUCACCAAAGAGAGCCAGGCUCUGAGAGUCUUAUUUGUCCUAUUAGAAGGGGCAUUCAUCUGGACCUCAGAUUGACAUCUGGAAUGAGUCUCUCAGCAUCCUCAGACAGUUGUGCUCAUCAUCGAUCCAGACAAGCACCCUCCCAACAAAUAAGCAUUUCCAUAGCCAGGCUUAUUUCCUUUAGGCUUAUCUAUUGCGUCAUGAAUAAAGAACAAUAUGUGGUAUUAAAUAAUGGAAUUCUUAUAUUAAUAGCCUGGGAAAAUGUGACCUUGGAUUGUCCUAAAAAUUACAUCAAAUCUAUUGGGAAAAUAAAAAUAACUAUAAAUUUGAAGAGUAAAUAAUGUAUCAAAAUUAUAUGUAGUAUAAUUACAGUACAAAUAAAAGUAGAAGCAACUAUAUUCUGAAUGUUCCAGAUAAAGAUUAUAAACAUCAAUGUUUAGCAUACUUGCAUUUCACUACAAGAUUAUUGUUUGUCAUCCAGUAUAAAAUGGUGAAAAGGAAAUAUGGCAAUGACUCCGAAAUUAUUCAGGUUAUUAUUUUUAAAAAUGGAAGAAACACUAAAAUUCCUUUAACCAUAUAGAGACAUUCACAAGAAAAAAAUAUAUAUCAAAAAUAGGAGUUCCUGUUGUGGCUCAGUGGUUAACAAAUCCGACUAGGAACCAUGAGGUUGCGGGUUCAAUCCCUGCCCUUACUCAGUGGGUUAACGAUUUGGCGUUGCCGUGAGCUGUGGUGUAGGUUGCAGAUUCGGCUCAGAUCCCGCGUUGCUGUGGCUCUGGCGUAGGCCGGUGGCUACAUCUCUGAUUCGACCCCUAGCCUGGGAACCUCCAUAUGCCGCGGGAGCGGCCCAAGAAAUAGCAAAAAGACGAAAAAAGAUAUAUAUAUUAUUCCUUGAGUCUCUGAAAUAAUGACCUCACAGACUUUAACAACUGACAUCACUAGUCAUAAAACACAAGAAUUUCAAAUUACCAGAAUAGCUGCUCACUUUCCUUCCAUGAAAGUAAUUUGUUCACUUGAAAGAAGAGUAACAUUUUGUAGUUUUGACCUACAGCAUAACAUUACAAAGAAAAAUAGAUCAGAUCAUACAAUGCAUUAAAUUAAUUAAAAAUAAAACGUUGGUUUCAUUUAAAUUAAUCAUAUAAAAAUUAAAAAUAAUCAUAUAAGCAUUCCUUGACACAAAAUCAGUUUUUUGAUCCAUUGUAACCCAUGCCAUUUCAUUUAUUCACUUAUUUCCUCUCUGAGUUCUUUAUUUAGUAAGUAGCCAAUAAUGCUCUCUACUGAACUAUUAAAAUAAGUGACACAGCAGUUAUCUCAAAUGGAAAAUUGUAAAAUUGUAUUUAACCUAAUCAAGACUAUAUAAAUACCUUGCUAUGUAAAAAAUAUCCUGUGAUGAACAAAAUGCAAGGCAUAUGAUUGGUGUACUGUGAUAUUAUUGAGGUUAUCAGUCAAGCCAGUUCUGAGAGUUUUGUCUUAUUGUAAGACCACUCAGCUGGAUCUCAGUAACCUCAAUACUUAUGCUCAUCCUUGAUCCAGGCAGGUUAACUAUGAACUAAUAAGCACACCUUACACCACACUAAUGCUCUUGACAAUUUACCACUUGCAUUCAGCUUAUAGUAGAAAUGGCGCAGGUGGACAUUUGACUUGAUUUUAGUAACUGGGUUUAUAAUGGCAACUUCAGAAGCGUCCCAGCAUCCUUCUGUUUAGAGUCAAACAUGAAGUGAUUAUUGCAGUGUGGCAGUUUUUAAUGCUGAUAUAUUUAUGCAGUAUGAUAGGAACAAUCAGUAGUUAACUGUGCACUUGGGUUAUAUCAUUUAAGAUUACUAAAGUAUGUGAAGUAUAUACAAUGUGAUAAUCCCAUCUGAUAGAAGAAGUCACAUUCAAUGUGAAUCCAUAUCUUCCUUGUCAAAGAAGAUAUGCAUUCAUAUCAAAACCAUAUGAUAAAAACCUCUACAAAACAACGGGAAACAACAAAAUGGCAAUAGGUACAUAGCUAUCAAUAAUUAAUUAUAAUGACCUAAAUGUUUCAAUCAAAAGAUAUUCUGCGAACAGAAACAAAGCUGAAGUAGCAAUACUUAUAUAAGACAAGAUAGACUUUAAAACAAAAGCUGUAACAAGAGAUGAAGAAGGGCAUUGUAAUGAUAAAGAAAUAAACCUAACAAGAUAUAAUAAUUGAAAAUAUCUAUGCAUUUGAAAUGGGCCCAUCUAAAUACAUAAAGCAAAUAUUAACAAACAAGCAAAUUGACAGUAACAAUAAGUGCACAGGUCUUUAACACCACCAUUACCUCAAUGGACAGAUCAUCUAGACAGAAAAUCAAUAAGGAAAUACUGGGCUUAAAUUAAUCAUUAGAUCGGGUGCACUUAAUGGAUAUAUGUAGAAUAUUCCAUGCAAAAGCCACAGAUUACAUUCUUUUCAAACCACAUAGAACAUUCUCUGCAAUAGAUCCCAUGCUAGGCCACCAAAAAAGUCUCAAUAAAUUUAAGAAAGUUGAAGUUACAUUAAGUAUUUUUUUCCAACCACAAUGAUAGCAAUUACAAGGAAAAAGACUGCAAAACCCACAAACACAUGGAGUCUAAACUAUAUGAUACUAAAUAGCCAAAGAGAUAAUAAAAAUAGACCUGGAGACAAAGGAAAAUGUAAACACGACACAACUUUCCAAAAUCUUAGCAACAAAAGCAGUUAUAAGUGGGAAGUUUGAAGUGACACAAGCCUACUUUAGGAAAUAAACAAAUAUUAAAGAGUAUAACUACACCUAAAGGAAUUAGAGAAAGAACAAACUUAAAAGUUAUUAAAAAUGAAAUAAGAAAGAGCAGAAAUAAAUAAAAUAGGGCCCAAAAAAGUAGAAAGUUCAAUGAAACAAAGAAUCAUCAAGAGAGCAGACCUGGAAUUCCUGCUGUGGUGCAGUGGGUUAAGAAUCUGACUGCAGUGGCUUGGGUCACUGUGGAAUUGCAGUUUCAGUCCUAAACGUGGUACGUUGGUUAGGGAUCCUGCAUUGCCACAGCUGUGGUAUAGGUCACAACUGAGUCUUGGAUUUGAUCUCUAGCCUAAGAACUUCCAUAUGCCAUGGCAUAGCCAUUGAAAAAAAGAGAGCAAACCCAAAUAAAACCAGUAAUAAAAAUGAAAAGUGGAGUUCCCGUCGUGGCGCAGUGGUUAACGAAUCCGACUAGGAACCAUGAGCUUGCGGGUUCGGUCCCUGCCCUUGCUCAGUGGGUUAACGAUCCGGCGUUGCCGUGAGCUGUGGUAUAGGUUGCAGACGCGGCUCGGAUCCCGCGUUGCUGUGGCUCUGGUGUAGGCUGGUGGCUACAGCUCCGAUUCGACCCCUAGCCUGGGAACCUCCAUAUGCUGCAGGAGCGGCCCAAGAAAUAGCAACAACAACAACAACAACAAUAACAAAAAAAAAAAAAAAAGACAAAAGACAAAAAA